Molecule: ribosomal RNA, 828 nt
Filed under: uncultured Nitrospirota bacterium
Lineage: Bacteria; Pseudomonadati; Nitrospirota
Description: bacterial SSU rRNA
Rfam family: Bacterial small subunit ribosomal RNA
Source: RNAcentral
AUAGAAUUGCCUCAGAAACUGUUUCGCUUGAGUCAGUGAGGGGAGGGCGGAAUUCCUGGUGUAGCGGUGAAAUGCGUAGAUAUCAGGAGGAAGGCCGGUAGCGAAGGCGGCCCUCUGGCACUGAACUGACGCUGAGGCGCGAAAGCGUGGGUAGCAAACAGGAUUAGAUACCCUGGUAGUCCACGCCCUAAACGGUGGGCAUUAGGUGUAGGGCUCGUAAGGGUUCUGUGCCGAAGGGAAACCAUUAAAUGCCCCGCCUGGGGAAUACGGCCGCAAGGUUGAAACUCAAAGGAAUUGACGGGGGCCCGCACAAGCGGUGGAGCAUGUGGUUUAAUUCGACGCUACGCGAAGAACCUUACCUGGGUUUGACAUGUUAGUAGUAAAAACCUGAAAAGGGGCUGACCCUGGGGUAACUCAGGGAGCUAACACAGGUGCUGCAUGGCUGUCGUCAGCUCGUGCCGUGAGGUGUUGGGUUAAGUCCCGCAACGAGCGCAACCCUUAUCCUCUGUUGGUCGUAAACGAUCUCUCUGGGGAAACUGCCGGCGAUGAGCUGGAGGAAGGUGGGGAUGACGUCAAGUCAGCAUGGCCCUUAUGUCCAGGGCGACACACGUGCUACAAUGGCUGCUACAGAGGGAUGCAAUACCGUGAGAUGGAGCCAAUCCUUAAAAGCAGUCUCAGUGGGGAUCGGAGUCUGCAAUUCGACUCCGUGAACGCGGAAUCGCUAGUAAUCAUGGAUCAGCCAUGCCAUGGUGCAUACGUUCCCGGGCCUUGUACACACCGCCCGUCACACCACGAAAGCCUGUUGUACCCGAAGCUGGGGAGUUAACC